This 414-nucleotide unclassified non-coding RNA is filed under the name Hevea brasiliensis (rubber tree). Lineage: Eukaryota; Viridiplantae; Streptophyta; Magnoliopsida; Malpighiales; Euphorbiaceae. The record is from RNAcentral.
AAAAAAAAAAAAAAAAAACUGUAGUAACACUAUCCUUUGCUUAAUGUCAUUUCUGCGUAAUCAAAGAUAACCCAAAUUCUUUUUAAGUUUUUAAUUUCAAUUUCUAAGUGAUGAAUCAUAGUUUUGUCCUUACGGGUCUCAGAUUACGAAAAUUAGACCCUGAAUCCGUGGUGAAAAAGAAAAAUCCUGCCCUCAAAGAAAUAAAAUUGCAGGAUCAAAACACCCCCGCCCCCCGCACCUCUCUCUCCAUUUUCUAUUUUCUACUAAGCUACUUGGCAACCAAACAAUGGGAGUAAUGCCAAAACGAAAAAAGAAAACCGUAGAAAUACCAGAUUUUAAUGGAGCAAAUAUGAGUUAAAAAAUUGAGCAAAAAAUCUAGAGAUAAAAAGACAAUUUUACUAACGAAAAACUCAC